This 77-nucleotide transfer RNA is filed under the name Lentisphaerota bacterium. RNAcentral describes it as "Lentisphaerae bacterium tRNA-Pro". It matches the Rfam family "tRNA". Rfam says of the family: Transfer RNA (tRNA) molecules are approximately 80 nucleotides in length. Their secondary structure includes four short double-helical elements and three loops (D, anti-codon, and T loops). Lineage: Bacteria; Pseudomonadati; Lentisphaerota. The record is from RNAcentral.
CGGGACGUGGCGCAGCCUGGUAGCGCGUUUGACUGGGGGUCAAAAGGUCGCAGGUUCAAAUCCUGUCGUCCCGACCA